This 345-nucleotide ribosomal RNA is filed under the name Chitinopoma serrula. RNAcentral's name for it is "partial large subunit ribosomal RNA". It matches the Rfam family "Eukaryotic large subunit ribosomal RNA", at positions 23 to 360 of the family's 3401-position model. The record is from RNAcentral. Lineage: Eukaryota; Metazoa; Annelida; Polychaeta; Sabellida; Serpulidae.
ACCCGCUGAAUUUAAGCAUAUCACUAAGCGGAGGAAAAGAAACUAACAAGGAUUCCCUGAGUAACGGCGAGUGAAACGGGAAGAGCCCAGCACCGAAUCCCCCGGCCGUGUGGUUGGAGGGAACUGUGGUGUUUGGGAGUACCUCUGGGGCGGUUGGUGGGCGUUCGAGUCCUCCUGAUUGGGGCUUGACCCUGAGCGGGUGUAAGGCCUCUACAGCACCUGCCACCGUCUCUCUGGAGCUCCCUGGAGUCGGGUUGUUUGAGAUUGCAGCCCAAAGUGGGUGGUAAACUCCAUCUAAGGCUAAAUACAUGCACGAGUCCGAUAGCGAACAAGUACGGUGACGGA